This 997-nucleotide ribosomal RNA is filed under the name Bacillus safensis. RNAcentral describes it as "bacterial SSU rRNA". It matches the Rfam family "Bacterial small subunit ribosomal RNA", at positions 476 to 1467 of the family's 1533-position model. Lineage: Bacteria; Bacillati; Bacillota; Bacilli; Caryophanales; Bacillaceae. The record is from RNAcentral.
UACCUAACCAGAAAGCCACGGCUAACUACGUGCCANGCAGCGCGGUUAAUACGUAGGUGGCCAAGCGUUGUCCGGGAAUUAUUGGGCGUAAAGGGCUCGCAGGCGGUUUCUUAAGUCUGAUGUGAAAGCCCCCGGCUCAACCGGGGGAGGGUCAUUGGAAACUGGGAAACUUGAGUGCAGAAGAGGAGAGUGGAAUUCCACGUGUAGCGGUGAAAUGCGUAGAGAUGUGGAGGAACACCAGUGGCGAAGGCGACUCUCUGGUCUGUAACUGACGCUGAGGAGCGAAAGCGUGGGGAGCGAACAGGAUUAGAUACCCUGGUAGUCCACGCCGUAAACGAUGAGUGCUAAGUGUUAGGGGGUUUCCGCCCCUUAGUGCUGCAGCUAACGCAUUAAGCACUCCGCCUGGGGAGUACGGUCGCAAGACUGAAACUCAAAGGAAUUGACGGGGGCCCGCACAAGCGGUGGAGCAUGUGGUUUAAUUCGAAGCAACGCGAAGAACCUUACCAGGUCUUGACAUCCUCUGACAACCCUAGAGAUAGGGCUUUCCCUUCGGGGACAGAGUGACAGGUGGUGCAUGGUUGUCGUCAGCUCGUGUCGUGAGAUGUUGGGUUAAGUCCCGCAACGAGCGCAACCCUUGAUCUUAGUUGCCAGCAUUCAGUUGGGCACUCUAAGGUGACUGCCGGUGACAAACCGGAGGAAGGUGGGGAUGACGUCAAAUCAUCAUGCCCCUUAUGACCUGGGCUACACACGUGCUACAAUGGACAGAACAAAGGGCUGCAAGACCGCAAGGUUUAGCCAAUCCCAUAAAUCUGUUCUCAGUUCGGAUCGCAGUCUGCAACUCGACUGCGUGAAGCUGGAAUCGCUAGUAAUCGCGGAUCAGCAUGCCGCGGUGAAUACGUUCCCGGGCCUUGUACACACCGCCCGUCACACCACGAGAGUUUGCAACACCCGAAGUCGGUGAAGGUAACCUUUAUGGAGCCAGCCGCCGAAGCNGACA